ACCAGCAUGUUCUCCUAUGGAACACGAAGUACCUGAAGUGGAAUGAAGAAGCCCAUGUUUGAGGCCUGCGCCCUGGCGGGAGCAUUGAAGGGGCAUCUGACAGGUUACACAACGCGUUGCUGAUCUAUCCAGGACGGCUUCAGGAUGGACUAUAAGAAGGAGGUUCAGUCCCGAUUGGGUCCGGCGCAACCUCAGGGAGUACAUAUACAGCGGCCUUGGUUUACGACGACGCACAAUGGCACAAAGAAGAACUAAGAGCAGCACUCUGGAGACUGAACAACCUCCUGAUGCGGAAAAUGAAUGGAUCGC
This is a long non-coding RNA of Bufo gargarizans (Asiatic toad), 309 nucleotides long. RefSeq lists it as uncharacterized. NCBI's taxonomy places the organism in Eukaryota, Metazoa, Chordata, Amphibia, Anura, Bufonidae. The transcript is spliced from 3 exons. The record is from RefSeq and is a predicted model, not a curated record.